AGAGCGAACGCUGGCGGCAGGCCUAACACAUGCAAGUCGAGCGCCCGUAGCAAUACGGGAGCGGCAGACGGGAUAGUAACACGUGGGAACGCGCCCUUCGGUUCGGAAUAACUCAGGGAAACUUGAGCUAAUACCGGAUACGCCCUUACGGGGAAAGAUUUAUUGCCGAAGGAGCGGCCCGCGUCCGAUUAGCUAGUUGGUGAGGUAAUGGCUCACCAAGGCGACGAUCGGUAGCUGGUCUGAGAGGAUGACCAGCAUCACUGGGACUGAGACACGGCCCAGACUCCUACGGGAGGCAGCAGUGGGGAAUAUUGGACAAUGGGCGCAAGCCUGAUCCAGCCAUGCCGCGUGGAUGAUGAAGGCCUUAGGGUUGUAAAGUCCUUUUAACGGGAAGAUAAUGACGGUACCCGUAGAAUAAGCCCGGCUAACUUCGCGCCAGCAGCCGC
RNAcentral lists this ribosomal RNA (446 nucleotides) under uncultured bacterium. RNAcentral describes it as "SSU rRNA". It matches the Rfam family "Bacterial small subunit ribosomal RNA", at positions 26 to 518 of the family's 1533-position model. The record is from RNAcentral.